UACGUAGGGGGCAAGCGUUAUCCGGAUUUACUGGGUGUAAAGGGAGCGUAGGCGGCCAUGCCAGCCAGGGGUGAAAGCCCGGGGCCCAACCCCGGGACUGCCCUUGGAACUGCAUGGCUGGAGUGCGGGAGGGGCAGGCGGAAUUCCUGGUGUAGCGGUGAAAUGCGUAGAUAUUAGGAGGAACACCAGUGGCGAAGGCGGCUUACUGGACGAUGACUGACGCUGAGGCUCGAAAGCGUGGGGAGCAAACAGG
This 253-nucleotide ribosomal RNA is filed under the name uncultured Eubacteriales bacterium. RNAcentral's name for it is "uncultured Clostridiales bacterium partial 16S ribosomal RNA". It matches the Rfam family "Bacterial small subunit ribosomal RNA", at positions 524 to 776 of the family's 1533-position model. Lineage: Bacteria; Bacillati; Bacillota; Clostridia; Eubacteriales. The record is from RNAcentral.